Molecule: ribosomal RNA, 899 nt
Filed under: Aspergillus sp.
Lineage: Eukaryota; Fungi; Ascomycota; Eurotiomycetes; Eurotiales; Aspergillaceae
Description: eukaryotic LSU rRNA
Rfam family: Eukaryotic large subunit ribosomal RNA
Source: RNAcentral
UGAAAUUAAGCAUAUCAAUAAGCGGAGGAAAAGAAACCAACCGGGAUUGCCCCAGUAACGGCGAGUGAAGCGGCAAGAGCUCAAAUUUGAAAUCUGGCCCCUCCGGGGUCCGAGUUGUAAUUUGCAGAGGAUGCUUCGGGUGCGGCCCCUGUCUAAGUGCCCUGGAACGGGCCGUCAGAGAGGGUGAGAAUCCCGUCUUGGGCAGGGUGCCCGUGCCCGUGUGAAGCUCCUUCGACGAGUCGAGUUGUUUGGGAAUGCAGCUCUAAAUGGGUGGUAAAUUUCAUCUAAAGCUAAAUACCGGCCGGAGACCGAUAGCGCACAAGUAGAGUGAUCGAAAGAUGAAAAGCACUUUGAAAAGAGAGUUAAACAGCACGUGAAAUUGUUGAAAGGGAAGCGCUUGCGACCAGACUCGGCCUCGGGGUUCAGCCAGCAUUCGUGCUGGUGUACUUCCCCGGGGCCGGGCCAGCGUCGGUUCGGGCGGCCGGUCAAAGGCCCCAGGAAUGUAUCGUCCUCCGGGACGUCUUAUAGCCUGGGGUGCAAUGCGGCCAGCCUGGACCGAGGAACGCGCUUCGGCACGGACGCUGGCGUAAUGGUCACAAACGACCCGUCUUGAAACACGGACCAAGGAGUCUAACAUCUACGCGAGUGUUCGGGUGUCAAACCCGUACGCGCAGUGAAAGCGAACGGAGGUGGGAGCCCCUUUGGGGCGCACCAUCGACCGAUCCUGAUGUCUUCGGAUGGAUUUGAGUACGAGCGUAGCUGUGGGGACCCGAAAGAUGGUGAACUAUGCCUGAAUAGGGUGAAGCCAGAGGAAACUCUGGUGGAGGCUCGCAGCGGUUCUGACGUGCAAAUCGAUCGUCAAAUUUGGGUAUAGGGGCGAAAGACUAAUCGAACCAUCU